This 499-nucleotide ribosomal RNA is filed under the name Latilactobacillus sakei. Its description in RNAcentral is "bacterial SSU rRNA". It matches the Rfam family "Bacterial small subunit ribosomal RNA", at positions 87 to 572 of the family's 1533-position model. The record is from RNAcentral. Lineage: Bacteria; Bacillati; Bacillota; Bacilli; Lactobacillales; Lactobacillaceae.
UUGAGUGAGUGGCGGACGGGUGAGUAACACGUGGGUAACCUGCCCUAAAGUGGGGGAUAACAUUUGGAAACAGAUGCUAAUACCGCAUAAAACCUAACACCGCAUGGUGUAGGGUUGAAAGAUGGUUUCGGCUAUCACUUUAGGAUGGACCCGCGGUGCAUUAGUUAGUUGGUGAGGUAAAGGCUCACCAAGACCGUGAUGCAUAGCCGACCUGAGAGGGUAAUCGGCCACACUGGGACUGAGACACGGCCCAGACUCCUACGGGAGGCAGCAGUAGGGAAUCUUCCACAAUGGACGAAAGUCUGAUGGAGCAACGCCGCGUGAGUGAAGAAGGUUUUCGGAUCGUAAAACUCUGUUGUUGGAGAAGAAUGUAUCUGAUAGUAACUGAUCAGGUAGUGACGGUAUCCAACCAGAAAGCCACGGCUAACUACGUGCCAGCAGCCGCGGUAAUACGUAGGUGGCAAGCGUUGUCCGGAUUUAUUGGGCGUAAAGCGAGCGC